Molecule: small nuclear RNA, 23 nt
Filed under: Arabidopsis thaliana (thale cress)
Lineage: Eukaryota; Viridiplantae; Streptophyta; Magnoliopsida; Brassicales; Brassicaceae
Description: snRNA_04327
Source: RNAcentral
UGGAUAUUGUUGCUUCAAGAGUU